RNAcentral lists this ribosomal RNA (410 nucleotides) under uncultured bacterium. RNAcentral's name for it is "bacterial SSU rRNA". It matches the Rfam family "Bacterial small subunit ribosomal RNA", at positions 370 to 772 of the family's 1533-position model. The record is from RNAcentral.
AAUGGGGGCAACCCUGAUGCAGCCAUGCCGCGUGUGUGAAGAAGGCCUUCGGGUUGUAAAGCACUUUCAGCGAGGAGGAAAGGUGGCUAGCUAAUACCUAGUUGCUGUGACGUUACUCGCAGAAGAAGCACCGGCUAACUCCGUGCCAGCAGCCGCGGUGAUACGGAGGGUGCAAGCGUUAAUCGGAAUAACUGGGCGUAAAGCGCACGCAGGCGGUUAGAUAAGUCAGAUGUGAAAGCCCCGGGCUCAACCUGGGAACUGCAUUUGAAACUGUCUGACUAGAGUCUUGUAGAGGGGGGUAGAAUUCCGGGUGUAGCGGUGAAAUGCGUAGAGAUCUGGAGGAAUACCGGUGGCGAAGGCGGCCCCCUGGACAGAGACUGACGCUCAGCUGCGAAAGCGUGGGGAGCAAA